AUGUCUGUGGCACUGCAAGAUAACGCACCCACAGCUGUCCUUCAGAAACCUGCACACCUAACAACAUGGCAUCAGGGAGUACAUGGCAUCAGUUGUUAUGAUGUCCUUACAAUCCUGUUUGUGCUUUGUAGGUUCCCUGUGUGUGGUGAUUCAGGAGAAACCAAACUGCGCUUAGAGAGAAGAGGUCAAUGUUGGGCAGCAGGACUGGCCGUGGCCCUGGAGGAAAAGGUGGAUUCUGGAAUAAUACAACUGCAAAUCAUCUUCAAGAGACGAAGACUUAAUUCUGGCUAAUACUGCUACUCCUCAAAGGAUGAAUCUGAAGAGCAAGAAGGGUUCCAUUUGUCAUGUCCUGAUUGCUGCAUUCUUUGUCAAACACAACUUUCUAAAAGAAUCUGGAAGGAAUUGACUCCUUUGUGGUAACAGCUGGAAACAUUUAGAGGAUAAUUCUUCAGAGUGCAAGUUGAAGCAGGCUGAGGUAGAUUGAGAGUAAAUUCAAAGUUAUCCUUGCAGGUCUUAUUACAGCCCAAAUAAAGGUUGCUGGAUGAAAUCA
This 550-nucleotide long non-coding RNA is filed under the name Zonotrichia albicollis (white-throated sparrow). Its description in RNAcentral is "lncRNA (ENSZALG00000014446.1)". The record is from RNAcentral. Lineage: Eukaryota; Metazoa; Chordata; Aves; Passeriformes; Passerellidae.